This 72-nucleotide transfer RNA is filed under the name Candidatus Parcubacteria bacterium. Its description in RNAcentral is "tRNA-Gly". It matches the Rfam family "tRNA". From Rfam's summary of the family: Transfer RNA (tRNA) molecules are approximately 80 nucleotides in length. The record is from RNAcentral. Lineage: Bacteria; Candidatus Parcubacteria.
GCGGUGGUAGUUCAGCGGUAGAAUGUCUCCUUCCCAAGGAGAAGGUCGGGAGUUCGAAUCUCCUCCACCGCU